UAAUCAGGAUGAUCCCCGCUUCAGUCAGGAGAGCAUUCAGGACGAAUGCAGGAGAGUAUCAGGAUGAUGCUCAGGAGACUUCAGGAAGAAGUAAGGGACACCUCCAGGAUGGAGAACGAGAGCUUGUCCACGGAGCAGACAGGUGGGUCAGGAAGACUAAAGGAGUACGCACCGGCAGGGUGCAGGAUGACACGUCAGGAUGAAAGAGGGACGCCGGAAAGGGAUGGCAGGUUAGGAUAACCGUUGGAAAAGUUUUCAAGGAUUGAGCAGGGAGCACACAGGUAGCGGGAGCGCUGCAAAACGAACCGGGGGUACUGUUUUUACAGUACCCCCAUUUUUUU
RNAcentral lists this non-coding RNA (341 nucleotides) under Chimaeribacter coloradensis. Lineage: Bacteria; Pseudomonadati; Pseudomonadota; Gammaproteobacteria; Enterobacterales; Yersiniaceae. The record is from RNAcentral.